Long non-coding RNA from Polypterus senegalus (gray bichir), 355 nucleotides. RefSeq lists it as uncharacterized. The transcript is spliced from 4 exons. The record is from RefSeq and is a predicted model, not a curated record. NCBI's taxonomy places the organism in Eukaryota, Metazoa, Chordata, Cladistia, Polypteriformes, Polypteridae.
CCAGAAGGUGUGUCAUGUGAUAUCAUUACGGAAACAUUUAAACUGAUAUUGUGAGUCAGUCAUUGUCCAACGUUGUGAAUUCAAAGCAAACCCUUCAAAACAAAGAUAUGAGAUCUCUGGACAUGCAUAAUUAAGCACCAGAACACACUGACGGUCCUACUGCUAAAAGAAUGGAAUGAAAUUAAAAGGAGGGAUGACCCAAAAAUUCCUGGUGCUGGGUAAAAGUGACAUUCUGCUGGGCUGACCGAAUGCGGUUUUCUGCCGUUUAUUCUACAAUCACGUGGGUCACAAAACAGCCCUGACCCAUUACAGCGAGGACUCCAUAAGAUUUCUGAAGGUGCCUGUGGUAUCCGAC